Molecule: long non-coding RNA, 1342 nt
Organism: Mytilus californianus (California mussel)
Lineage: Eukaryota; Metazoa; Mollusca; Bivalvia; Mytilida; Mytilidae
Exons: 2
Source: RefSeq, a predicted model, not a curated record
CAGACACCAAGUGCUAUUUAUUUUAUCUUUAUAUUUAAGAAGACUCCGGUAGUGUUUUGAGGAAGAAUGUUUUUUUUAAUCAAGCCUGAAUGCCUGAUCAUAAUUUUGGACGAUUUCGAAUAAAACUGAAACUUUUACUCCUACAUACAUGCCGAAGAUUACAAACUACCGGGAAGUCCUUUUUGAUGAGAUCUGUAUCUACGCCUUGUUCAGUGGGAGUCAGAUGAAACACAUCCUCAUUGAUUAUAUAUGGUAUAUUCGUGACUCAUUUAUUUUUAGACUGGUCAACAAAAGAAACAAUACAAAACAAUGUAUUUCUGUAUGUAGUAGUGGAAUUGGACGCACAUCACCUAGCUAAAAUGUUGACCAAUUGAUUACAGAGUGUUGCACAUGUUUUGUCAUCAAAAUCUUUGACACGCACAAAAAAUGAGAACAUCAUAUAUUUGCAAAUUUAUCUCUUUUGUUUACCCCAAAUGUAAAAAAAGUCGAUAUUCCAUCUUAAAACUUGAAUUCUAAACAUGGGCUGACUAAAAAUAUUGAUAUACAGCGCAGAUAUUUGAAUACUUAAAUAUCAUCUUUGAAACUGGGUGGCUAUUUUUAUCAUCACUUCGCACAAAAUAAACUUUGACCCCUUUUUUGAUAACACGGUAUUUUCUCAUUUUCAUUCUUGUCAUAUGCACUGGCAUCGCAAACAAAUGUUUUUCAUUUAAUAAUUCAAAAGUUUUUCCUGUUAAUUAUAUUUUAUGAUAACUUUGAUUUCAAACGUGUGUAUCCUUUCUUUCGUUGCCUAGUAUAUUUUGAUGAACUCUAAUUUGACGUAUUUGGUUUGCCUUAAGUUUCCUUUUCUGUUUUACGCCUGUUUCGCAAGUGUGGGUGCAUUUAUCUUUGUUUUCCCAGAAAAAUCAUAUUUAAAAAUAAAAGAUAUGUCUGGGAAAAUUUACAAGUUUUUUUUUAUAAGGGUCUAUUUGAGAGAAAAACGAGAACAUAUUACAAAUAUCUGCAAGGUCUGUCAAAGUUUAAAUGUUCGUUUUGAUAUAGAAUUACCAUAUCAUUAUGAUCAUUACAUAUGUCGUAGCAACAUGCUAUAUGCAUGCAUAUUUAAAAUUUCGUUAUUUAUAUUAUCUGCUACUGUUUUGGGAUAUGGAUGAUACAUAUGGGCAUACAUGUAUGUGUGCAUGUUUAUUUAUUUAUACUGGGGAUCGUACUCAGUAUUUUGUUUCUUGUUAUUCGUGUUUCAACUGAGUUGAUUUAUAAGUGUGCAUCUUCAUUGGCAAGAAUGCCAAUAUGCUAUCAUUGUGAUUACUUGAGAUAAUCUAUAUUAAAACUAACUUAUUUUUGGCCA